Orcinus orca (killer whale) is the source of this 8630-nucleotide long non-coding RNA. RefSeq lists it as uncharacterized. The transcript is spliced from 2 exons. The record is from RefSeq and is a predicted model, not a curated record. NCBI's taxonomy places the organism in Eukaryota, Metazoa, Chordata, Mammalia, Artiodactyla, Delphinidae.
GAUUUCAUGAGGGUUAACAAAAGGGGUACCUGCUGGAAGGUAAUGAGAUGUGAUUUGAAUCCCUCUAGUAAAGAAGAUGUAAAUCAAAAGCACCAAGGAUGCAAUUAAUCAUUGCUGGUGUCUCUUUACGUGACAGAAUACCAAUUAAUGUGAUCUAUAAUUCUCUAAGGAUAAGAUAGAAGAGACAGCUGGAAAUUGCUGGGAUUUAGUAACUGGUUUUAAUUAAAGUCAGAUUUUCAUGUAAUGUGCACUUUUUGUAAGGCUGUCACUUGUAGAUGCUUCUUCAUGCAUAACUAAAAAUCAAGAUUAGACCAAAUGAAACCGGAAGGUAAGAACAGACUAUUGGGGAAAUCCUUUUUAAUUGCUAAUGAAUAUUAAAAUUAAUAGAGUAAUAAUGCGCCUUUGUUGCGUUUAGUUGUAGGAUUAAAUAAUGUGGCAUUGACUCCAUCUGCAGCAGACCCUUCAGCUAUUUGUAUGGGCAAAAUAGAUAGCUGAGGAGAUGGAUAUGCUCUUAAAUUUCCCUGAAAUGACUGGUGAGCAGCAGAGGAACAAUGUUUCAUUGUGUGUUUAAGUGUCCGUGUUCAUUUAGCUGUUUGGAGAUUUGGUCCUGCGAGGAUACAUUGCACCACUAGGUGGCAGUCAUACACUGAAUAUUUAUGAAAAUGCAGCGAGAUUGUGUGUGUGUGUGUGUGUGUGUGUGUGUGUGUGUGUGUGUGUGUGUGUGUGUGUGUGUGUGUGUGUGUGUGUGUGUGUGUGUGUGUGUGUGUGUGUAACCUUGGUAGGUCUUUGUUUGGUCGACUUGGAUAUAUUUCAGGGUAUGAAAGACCAAAAAAUCAAGCAAAUGUUAGGUUUGACAUAAUAUUGUGUCAAUUGUCUAACUCAUUUCAAAUGAUCCAUUUGUAAUUGUGGUAUUGCGUAAAAUACCUAGAUUUCACAUUGCAGAGCUGUGAAUGGGAAACCCUGCUGGUGUGCAGGAGGUUAGAUGUGUGGGAUGUGGGAGGAUGGGGGGAAUGUGUGGAGAGGGGGAAAAGAGGGACCUUCUGUUGCUUAAUAAUAGGGUCACCAAUUGUUGACCCAGGUAUUAGAUUGACACAAAUUCUUUUAAAAGGCAAGUUUUACUUUGGUUUGUAAUUUAGAAUCCAUCUCUAUGAAGGGACUCAGAGUCCAUUUUCUUUCUGAUCAUAGAUGGCAUUAGUGUGUUAGCAAUAUCCAAUUCCUUAGUAAGGCAGGUUUCUGAGCUCAUGGAAAAUCGGAACUGAGAAGUUCCUUAAAGAUGAGCUAGUGAAACUCACUCAUUCUAUAAAAGAGAAAACCUUAGGCCCCAAAAUAGUAAAUAAAACUUUUCAAAGGUUGAUCGCUAGAUGUUGGCAAGCCCAGGCUACAUUUGAAAUUUCCUGACUUUUUAAUCAGGCUGGUAAUUUGGUUUGUCUUUGACACUUUAUUUGGGGGUUGGAGGAGGAUGGAGUGGAAAGGUUAAAAAAGGAAAAAGGAAACAAAAAACCCAACAUUAUCUGCAGGGUGUGAUGCCAGUCACUCUCUAUCUGUUACCUCAUUUAAGCCUCACAAUAACCAAGACACAGAUUUUAUUUUACAGAGGAGGAAAACGAUACCUAAGUAACUAGCACAAGAUCAGACAGGGAAAUGAAAGUCAGAAUCCUAGAAAAUAUGCAUAAUUUUUUCUUUAAGAGAGGAAAGGAAGGGAAUUAAAGAACAUAUCUAAAAUCAACGAAAGCAUUUUCAUAGUAACAACUCUCCUGUGAUUUAUUCAUUCAACAAACAUUUAUUGUGCACUUUCUGUGUGCUAGGUAAUAAAGUAAACAUAAAAUUAUUUUGGAAGGCAGGAGAAUUUAACGUGAACUUGUGUUUAUUUGGUUUUGUUUUGAAGGGUGGUUACUAGCUGUGUAAGGAUGAAAUAAACCAAGCCUUUUGUCGUUCGGUUUGAAUGUUGAAACAUUACCCACUCUGUAGUGUCAUCAAUCUGUCGAUUUUGGAAAAUAUGGGUUUUUUAAAAAUAAAAAAAAUCCUUUGCCAUGCAGAAGUAGCUGAAGCAAUGCCUUACUCCACAAUCCCAUGUGUGCUGGAUUUAAUUUAAUAGCUGAACAUGGUGUACUUAGAAUUUAGAGAAAUAAUUUUUUAAAAGAAGUCUGUAUUCAAGUGUAUAUUUGAUUAGACUAGACUCUCUACAAGGACAGGGACACGGUUAGUUCUCUUUACUGCCACAAUCCCAGGGCAAGCCCAGCACCUGGUCCAAGUUAGCACCCAUAUCAGAUGGCCAGAAGCGAGCCAUGGCAUUUGAGUGCCAGAUUCAUGCCUUCUCACACCUGUAGAGCUUUCCCGCCACAUGCAACUGACCUUACAAUGUUUGGGAAAUAGAUAUAUACGGUUUUGCAGGUAAGAAGUAGCAUUAUUAGUUUGUGGCUUGCUGCCCUCUUUGGAAUGAAUUUAAAUCGUGGAGGUUGCUAUUUGCAUGGAGUUCAUAGCAUGAAUCUUAACUUUGAGUCAGCUUUAGUGUUUUGUCCCAGUGGGAUUCCAUUUUAAACAGAGUCUCCAUUUAUCUCUCAGGAAAGUGUUACUGAAAUGUGUUUUCCGAGUCCUCUGAGAGAGUGGUCCAGCUCCUUUGGAGUCACUGUGGGAGGGGGAAUUUAGUCUCCUCAGAGCCAGCUGCCUCCCUCACAUUCUAACUGAUGAAUCCUGAACUAAAUUCUGUUCUUUGGGUUCAUACUUUCUGAGGAAACAACAUUCUAAUUCAUACUUGGCAAGUGUGACACCCCGCCCCGGGCUGGUUGCAAUCUUUAGUGUGCACUUAUUCAUUUAUUCAUUCAUCCAGCAAAUGAUAUUGAAGCCCACCUUGUGCCAGGCCACCUGCAGCGGGAUACAGUAGUGAGUGAGCAGACACAGAGGCUGCCCUGCUGUCCCGGGCAGUCACUUGGAGACAGAGCAAGUAAACACGGUGUAGUAAGGUGAACCGUUGUCUCAGGUAGCACAUGGUGCCACAGGAACACCCAGGGCAGGCUUCCUGGAGGAAGUGGCAUCUAAACUAGCCCUGAAGGAUGAGAGGGAAGGAGCAGGGCGGAGGGACUAGGGACAGCAGAGCAGAGUGCCAGUCUGAGGAAGCAACAUGGACAAAGGCCUUUAGGUGAAGGCAAACAGGAUGAGAUUAGCUCCUUUUAGAUCCCUGCAACCAGAGUGUGAAAGGCAAAGGGGGUGGGGGGCAGAUAAGCAGACCACAGCUGAAGGGACAUCUCCCUGAGGGCCGAGGGGAAUGAAGGGUGUUGAGAAGGGGAAGGGAAUGAUCCAAUCUGUGUUCUCACAAGCUCGCUCAGAUUUCAGUGGGGAGAAGGGAUUGGAAGGGCCCAAGCCUUGAGGCUGGGCGAGCCACAGACGAGACAGGGAUACCCAGGGAAUGAAGAGGGAAGUGGACCAGAGAGAAAUAAAUGUCCUGUUCUGACCUCCGCCAGACUCAGUAACAGCACCACGUUAAUUACAGAGCUCUUCAUUCGUUUUUAGAAAUGAGCAGAAUAAGUAUAAAUAAAUGAAGAGCAAGAUCAAAUGUACUUUCACUUACAACCAAGGCAUUUUUCCUAGUGUUUUCAAGAUGCUAAGCAACUUUUUAAAUAACACGCAGUGAGCAUGACCGAAAUGAUGAAUGAAAAACUUAAAAUUAAACAAAGCAAAUGAUCUGGUUUCAUUCUGGCACCCUUUGAGCACAUGGGCCCGACGACAGAGCUCUCGGUGGCAAGAUUAGUAAGCAUUUCUUUUCUUUUUUAUUUUUUAAACAUCUUUAUUGGAGUAUAAUUGCUUUACAAUGGUGUGUUAGUUUCUGCUUUAUAACAAAGUGAAUCAGUUAUACAUAUACAUAUGUUCCCAUAUCUCUUCCCUCUUGCGUCUCCCUCCCUCCCACCCCUCUAGGUGGUCACAAAGCACCGAGCUGAUCUCCCUGUGCUAUGCGGCUGCUUCCCACUAGCUAGCUAUUUUACGUUUGGUAGAAACUUUGUCACAGCUUACCCUUCCCCCUCCCCAUAUCCUCAAGUCCAUGCUCUAGUAGGUCUGUGUCUUUAUUCUCAUCUUACCCCUAGGUUCUUCAUGACUUUUUUUUUUUCUUAGAUUCCAUAUAUAUGUGUUAGCAUACGGUAUUUGUUUUUCUCUUUCUGACUUGCCUCACUCUGUAUGACAGACUCCAAGUCCAUCCACCUCACUACAAAUAACUCAAUUUCGUUUCUUUUUAUGGCUGAGUAAUAUUGCAUUAUAUAUAUGGGCCACAUCUUUAUCCAUUCAUCUGUCGAUGGACACUUAGGUUCUUUGCAUGUCCUGGCUAUUGUAAAUAGAGCUGCAGUGAACAUUGUAGUACAUGACUCAUUCUGAAUUAUGGUUUUCUCAGAGUAUAUGCCCUGUAGUGGGAUUGCUGGGUCGUAUGGUAGUUCUAUUUGUAGUUUUUUAAGGAACCUCCAUACUGUUCUCCACAAUGGGUGUAUCAAUUUACAUUCCCACCAACAGUGCAAGAGGGGUCCCUUUUCUCCACACCCUCUCCAGCAUUUAUUGUUUUUAGAUUUUUUGAUGAUGGCCAUUCUGACCGGUGUGAGAUGAUAUCUCAUUGUAGUUUUGAUUUGCGUUUCUCUAAUGAUUAGUGAUGUUGAGCAUUCUUUCAUGUGUUUGUUGGCAAUCUAUAUAUCUUCUUUGGAGAAAUGUCUAUUUAGGUCUUCUGCCCAUUUUUGGAUUGGGUUAUUUGUUUUUUUGAUAUUGAGCUGCAUGAGCUGCUUGUAAAUUUUGGAGAUUAAUCCUUUUCAGUUGCUUCAUUUGCAAAUAUUUUCUCCCAUUCUGAGGGUUGUCUUUUCGUCUUGUUUAUGGUUUCCUUUGCUGUGCAAAAGCUUUUAAGUUUCAUUAGGUCCCACUUGUUUAUUUUUGUUUUUAUUUCCAUUUCUCUAAGAGGUGGGUCAAAAAGGAUCUUGCUGUGAUUUAUGUCAUAGAGUGUUCUGCCUAUGUUUUCCUCUAAGAGUUUGAUGGUGUCUGUCCUUACAUUUAGGUCUUUAAUCCAUUUUGAGUUUAUUUUUGUGUAUGGUGUCAGGGAGUGUUCUAAUUUCAUUCUUUUACAUGUAGCUGUCCAGUUUUCCCAGCACCACUUAUUGAAGAGGCUGUCUUUUCUCCACUGUAUAUUCUUGCCUCCUUUAUUCAGUCUCUGUUUGAUGGCUGCUAAACUGAUCUUCCUUAAUUCCCCAUAGGAGACCAAGAGCUGAAAAAACCAAACUCAAUCUUUUAAAUCAGUCUGUUCAGUUGUAGCUUCUUUUCUCUGUUUCCCCUUUCAAGGUUUUAGGAAAGCUAUGGUUAGAGGGUCUAGUGUAUCUUCAGUGCACAUUGGAAAAUUAGGGAAAUGUCACUGCAAGUCCCUGUACAUGCCACUGUUGUUAUUUGGGGGGCUAUUUCUUGAAGACAUGAGUGGUGACGCAGGCAGGGAUAAACCAUCCAGAGAUAUGAUCUCCCUUGUAGGGAUUCUCAUUUACCUUGCCAACCUUGCGGUGACAGUGGGUUUCUCUCAAAAGGAGCUAUAUAACACAAAGUAAAAAAAUUGAGUCAUAACACACCAAACAAAAAUAAUAUUUUUAAAGAUAAAACAUUUCUAAAAAUAGGAUAAAUCCUGAAUACUACAUCUGCUGGUUAUUCUGGAAGAAUGGUCUUCUUUCAAUGUAAUCCUUUAAUUCAUUUUUUCAUUACUUUAUGUUUUACCAACAAUAAAAAUUAGGAAGAAGUAUAAUAACCAUACCAAAAUUUCAGGGACAAUGAGAAUUUUGUUAAUGAUUUCACUUUGGGACAGCCUAGUGGUUGGUCUCUAUUUACUCCAGUUUUCAAGGAGGAAAAGAAAAGAGUCCAUUCUUCUGCUCUGCCCAGAUUUCAUGGUAAUUCCUUCAAGUAUUUAUCAAGCAAUUAAUAUAUGCCAGGUACUUUUAUCUUCAAGGCUCUAAAGAUAAAAUGUGAAUAAGGCUGUUGCUACCCUUGUCUUCAUAGAAUUCAUAGUGUAGUAGGGGAGACAGACAAUAAUCAAACAGUCAAAAUGCAGAGUCUCGUGCUAGGAUAGAGGAUCUGAAGGAUUUUGUUGAGGCACAUAGCAGGGAUGCCUAAUUUUGUCUGGUGGGUCAGGAUAGGCUUCUUAGAGAUAUUAUGAUUUAAGCUGAAGACUGUUAGUAUAGUUAGUAGCCAGGUGAAAAGGGGAAGGAGAGAGCAAGGAUUUUCCUGGCAGAGUUGUAAGAUGUUUGAAAGCCCAGAAGAGGGUGAAGAAGGGAAUAGCACAGCAAAACAAAUGAAAGAAAUUUGACUGGAGCAUUAAAUUUUUCUAACAUAAGCUAUGCAAGUAGCUAGUGGUAACUUUAAUUUAGAUAAUAGAGAAGUAGGUUCAAAGAACAUUGCUUCAGUAAUAGCUACGCUCAGAUAUGUUCAACUCUUAGAAAAUGAGACUUUAACAUUUAAUCUUCUAGGUAGUUUUCACUAUACUUAUAUAUUUAUUUUGCCUUUGAGUUGUGCUCUUUUUACCUCUUAAGCAAGGUGAUGUGAAUACUAGUAAUGCCUCACAUUUCUUGAUUAAGCACUGUCUUAUUUUCUUAGCCACAUUUAAAAACUGAAAAUGACAAAAUCCUAAGAAUACAUCUAACCAAAGAUAUUCAAGACUACCUUACUAAAACUAUAAAACAUUGCUUAGAAAAGUUAAAGCAGACUUAAAUUAAGGGAGGGAUAUGCCAUGUUUAUGGAUCAGAAGACUCUACAUUGUUAAGAUGUCAUUAACUCUCCAAAUUGAUCUUAAUUGCAACACCAAUCCCAAUCCCAAUAGGAAAUUCACAGAACGAUUAUAAACUUAUAUAGAAAUGCAAAAGACAUAGAAUAGCCAAGGUGAUCUUAAAAAACAAGAAGAAAGCUGGAAGACUUACAUUUCUAGAUAUUAAGACUUAUUAUAAAGCUAAAGUAAUUAGACAGUAUGGUUUUGACUAAAGAAUAAUUCAGUAGACCAAUGGAACAGACUAAAUCGUCCAUAAAAAAUGCACACAUAUAUGGUCACCUGAUUUAUGUCAAAAGCAUUACUGCAAUUAAUUAGAGGAAAUAAUGGGCUUUUUAAUAAACGGUGCUGAGACAGUUAGCUAUCCAUAUAGAAAACAAUAAACCUGACCCCUACUUCAUAUCAUAUCACAAAAAUUAAUGAGAGAUCAUAGACUUAAAGUCCAAAAAUAAAAAACUAUUUCAGAACAAAACCUAGGUAAAUAUCUGAAUGACCUUGGGGGAGGCAAAGAGUUUUGAAACAGGAUGCAGAAAGCACUUAACCACAAAAGAAAAUAAUAAAUUGCACCUCAUCAAAAUUUAAAAAGUCUAUGCAUUAAAAGAUACCAUUGAGAAAAAAUAAAGACUGAAGAAGAUAUUUGCAAUACAUAUAUCCAAAAAGGGACUUAAAGAAGUUAUAUAAAGAAGUUAUACAAGUCAAAAAGAAAAAUAUUAACUACCUAGUUGAAAAUGGGCAAAAAAUCUGAAAAGGCACUUGAAGUUAUCAAAAUUACCAAUACAAAUAUGCAAAGGUAUUUACAUUAUUAACCCUCAGGGAAGUGAAAAUAAAAAUCCACCAAAUGGGGCUUCCCUGGUGCACAGUGGUUAAGAAUCCUCCUGCCAAUGCAGGGGACACGGAUUCAAGCCCUGGUCUGGGAAGAUCCCACAUGCCACGGAGCAGCUAAGCCCGUGUGUCACAACUACUGAGCCUGCGCUCUAGAGCCCGUGAGCCACAACUACUGAGCCCGAGUGCCACAACUACUGAAGCUCGCGCGCCUAGAGCCUGUACUCGGCAACAAGAGAAGCCACCUAAUGAGAAGCCCGUGCACCACAAGAAAGAGUAGCCCCCGCUCACUGCAACUAGAGAAAGCCCCGCGUGCAGCAAUGAAGAUGCAACGCAGCCAGAAACAAAUAAAUUCAAUAAAUAAAUUAAAAAAAAAAAAACCCAAGUGGCUAAAAUUAGAAGGACUGACAGUCACAAAUAUUAAUGAGGAUAGGAAGCAACUGGAACUAUUAUACAUGGUGGUGGAAGUGUUAACUGAUAGAAGCACUUUGUAAAACUAUUUGGCGUUAUCUACUAAAAAUAGUAUACUUCUGGGCAAACACCCAAGGAAAAUGAGUGUUCAUGUAAAAUGCAUAUACAAGAAUGUUCAUAGCAGUGUUAUUCAUAAUAGCCCCAAAGGGAAAACAAACCAAAUGUCCAUCAGCAGUAAGAUGGAUAAAUUGUGGUGUUAUUCAUUCACUAGGAUACUACAGAGCAAUGAAAAAGAAUUAACUAUUACUAGAUUGCAAUAUAUGGAUGUAUCUCCUGAGUAUGAAGUUGAGUGAAAGAAACUAGACAUCACAGAAUAUGUAGUAUAUACUUUCCUUUAUGUGAAGUUCAAAAUCAGGCAAAACUAAUCCAUGGUGAUAGAGGUCAAAAUAUUCUAUUUUUGAGGAGGUAUUGCCCAAAGUGGAACACAAAGCAGCCUAUUGGAGCGCUGAAAAUGUUCUAUAUAUUGUUCUGGGUGGUACUCAUGUGGGUAUAUACAUAUUUAAAGGUAUAUGGCGGUAUUAGCUUCAUAUUUUGCACUCUCAGCUAUACCUCAGUAAAAUAGUAAAAAAAAAAAAAGAAA